AUUGUUUGGUACUUUCUAUACAUCAGCUAAGAAGUCUUUGAAACUUUCAUUUAGGGACUAGGACAAGGGAAGGAAAGAAAAGAAAGCCUGGAGUUUUUCAUAAUAGUGCGCUGCUUAUGAAGUCCUGUGAAGCACAGAACAUACAAGAUGGGUGAUAAAAGCAGUGAGAUUUCAUCCCCUGCUUCACAAUGGAUUCCCUAAAUUAAUAGAUUUCCAUUAUACUUGCAGAAUUUUAAAUAAUUUAGCCAACAAGACCUGGCUCCUGCUUUUUGUUGGAAACAGCAGGUGGCAAUAUAAUUUCAAGCAUCUUUUCAAAACUUUCUCAUAGAGAAAAUCAUCUUAUAAGGACUAUAAAACAAAUUUCACAGUCCAUUUAUAUUUCUUUUUCUUUUAAUAUUUUGUUAAUUAUUAGUUGUUCCAGGCAAGUGAUAUGUUCUUUCAAAAAGCUGAUAGUUGACUAGUGGUUUCAGAACUUGGGUAAAAACCAGUUGUGUUCUUUGUAGACAAAUAAGACUAUCUACAAUACUUGUUCUGCAUAUGUGGAACUGGAUCUUUCAAAACUGGCAAGUCUUUCAGGCAUUUGAUAAAAUAUUACGCAAAAUAAAAUUAUUUAGGCAAACAAGCAGAUUGUAAAUUGUGUAAAAGGACUUCCUACAUGGUAAAAAAAAUUAUUGAUUCCAUACUACACACUUGGCUGAAUGUUAUGAGGGCCAGAUAAGUUCUUUUUUACUUUCAGACUGCCUUGGGAAUGUCCUGUGUCAUUCCCGCAUUAAGAGGCCAAAGUCUAAAAAUAUCCAAAGUCCCUUAACAAAGCUGCAGUUUCACAACCAGCAUUCCCAAGUCUUUGAUUUAUCAUUCUAGAGGACUGAAUAAAAAUGCUUUCAGGCUACAUGCAUCUCUCUAAGGCUCAUGAAACACUAUACAAGCACUUCAAUCACUCAUUAAUUAAACUUUUGAAUAGCUCAUAUAAGCCAGGUAAGAGGAUGAGAUUUCAGUGGGAGGUAGGUGUUAUGAAAGCCCCAUCAGGUGUCUGUCUUGAUCUCCAGACACAUAAAUACCAUUAAUAUCUGGUUAUAACUGACUUAAGAGAACAAGUCACAUUGAUUUUUUUCAAUCACUUCCUCAUGAGAACCCCACUCAGAAUGGUUGUAUCUCUUUUCUAGGUGGAUAAAUGGAUUGGCACAAUGAUUAAAUUCAGCACAGUCAGUGAUGCCUUGUGGAAGCUGGAACAAAGGACUUUGGCUUGGAAUUCAGUUUGCAAAUGUAUUUACAAUGCAAAUGCAGCUGAGAGGGUCCCCCAAGAAUACAUUUCUUUGGGGCUUGCAUAUGGAAUGUAGCCAGAUUUGUAUUUGGCAUUGUUGCUGCAUGAGCAAGUGUUUUUUUAAAUAGUUGAAUAUUGCUAGUGUGGUUUGAGUCCAUUAAUUUCUGGUUUUUAACUUACUUUUGGAGGAGGGGAUUCUAAACCUUUUCAGAACAAUAUAACUUCCAUAGAAAGUGUAUCCUUAUACCCUACAAUAUCAGAAAUCAGAUUUCAGGGCAGAAAUCAUUAUCCUUCCUCUUAAUACUUUUAUGUAGUUUCUGUACCCAGCCAUUGCAGUACAGGAAAUCAGGAGUGUCCUUAAAGUUUCAAAUUCAUUUGUAGCUUUCAGGACUUCUGGAGUUAAAUGGGAAACCUAAACAGCUUUGGCCUUGCUUCCAAUACAUUUUAGAUAAUGCAAAUGGAAGUUUUUAGACUUGUUUCCUUGAUUGCUUCCUGCGAAAGCAACACGAUGAAGAGUAACUAUCAACUGAAUGCAAUCAAAUGCUAGCAUGAGAUGGUGUUAAUCUUUAGCCAGCAGGCACUUGAUGAUUAAUGGAAUGAACGUGUGAUCUGUGUGCCAAAUAAACUGAGUGUUGAAAUUAAAAAAAAAGUCUUUCUUUAAAGAAAAUAAUUUGCUUUUGGAUACUCGAAUUGAUACAGGACUGCCUGUUCUGAUUCUAAACUAUAAUUCCAAACGGGCUUAUGUGAUGUCCAUAAACUAGUCCUUAUAUCUGAUGUCAUAGAUUACUACAUACUGAGAAGUUUAUGAACAGUAGAAUAUUUCUAAAAUAUAUUUCUCUGUAGCAGAGGAAUUCAGUUUCUGAAACCUGCCUUUGUGGCCAAGCAAUGUGCAGGCCAUCCAUACCAUACUUGUGUUCUCAGUGUGGGGUUUUGCACAUUUCCUUCAUACAGAUGGAUUUAAAUGAUAGCCGUGCUUGAGAUUGUGUUUGCAUAGCUUGUUCUGUGGAGUAUUAAUACUUUUAUAUUCUCAAAUAUGCACAGUUUAGACCACCAAGAAGCACAUAAGGAAUGUAAAGAAAGUAUGUUCUACCUGCACCAUUAAACUGGGAGGAGAGACUUGGGAGUAAACAACCCAAAUUUAUGUAAAUUGAAACCUGCAGCAGUCUUUUCCUUCCAUAACAUACAAAUCCAUGGGUUUGAUUGGGCUGCAGUCAGAUGGAUGAGUGGUAAAAAUGGCUGUUGUUCCAGUGGAGUUGCACCAUAUCAGAAUGAAAAAAUCUUAAUUUCCACUUGAGAUAAAAGCUUCAAUUGGCUGCUUGGGCUCUAUAGCAUUUGCCAUAAGUACUGGUGAAGUAUUUUGUGUAUUUGUGCAUCUCAUGCACACCUAAGAAUGGUAACCUUUGCACUCACUUCUGUAGGAAUUAUUCAGAGAUGACAUAACUGGAUCUUUCCCAGAAAGGUUACUCACUUUUUAAAGCAAGCCUGCUUCAAAAGGACAGGUGUGGUAGCUGCAGAUCUGUUUGUGCACAGCACUUUCAAAUUGCACAUAGCCAUAGUUCUCCUCACAGCCAGUUCCUGUACUGUUUCUUCACGUGGAAAUUUUAAUUGAAAAAAAAAUCUGAAAUCCAUCACAAAAACUCUUUCAAUGUUUAUGUGACUAAAAAGGACUUGUAUGUAGUGUUAUGAUAGAAGUGGUAUCAAGUGUAGAAGUAGAACUUAUGUAUGGUAAGGCAAAAGGCUAUCAAGGAAAGAAUGUAUUGCUGUCUUAAGUUAAGAAUGUGAGGGGCUGCAGAUUUUUCCCAAAUUUUCUUUCUGCAUUCUUACUAGCAAAGAAACAAAACCUCAUGGUCCUUUACUGUAAUACAGAGUGACUGUCAAAACAUGAAGUUGUCAUGCUCCUUACAAAUAUAUUUCUCAAGAGGUGUUGGGAAAGAAUAAAUUUUGCACCAAAAUAACAGUAUUUUCGGGUAAAGAGAGAUUAGAGUGCUAUUUAUAUAAUGCUAAUAUGUACUGUCAACUUUGGAUUUAAAAAAAAAUUAAAUUAAAAAUUAUCAGCUUAUUAAAUGGGGAUGGACAAGUGUUCCUCUGGAGCAAUGCAUCAUUUUUUUCCUACCCCUAAAAAUAUAUUUUGAUGUAGUUUAUAAUUAAACACUAUAAAAGCAAGGAUUACCACUUAACAUUUCAUUUUUGUCAGAAAAGCAUCUCCUGCAAAAUACUUACAAAUGAGUCUCUUCUGCAGUCUUGACUGAAAUGCAUUAUGCAGAAAUCUGACAACUGCUCAGUACAAUUUGCAAGCUGCAGAGAAUUCAAAAUAGUCUUUGAUGUCUAGGCAGAAAUUCACUGUACAGCAGGGAGUUUAGGUUGGUUCUCUGCAUUUUAUCAGCCCAUGUUGUGUUUAAUUAAGACAUGGCAAGCGUCUCAGGAUUAGCCUUUGACAGCUCAGAGUUUUUGCUCCAGGUUAAUAAGCCUGAUUUUUUUCCCCUCUCCCAUUUUUCCCCUUCAUAAAAUUCCAACAGGCUGUCAAAUCUUCUACUGCUUUUCCUGAAGGAGCCUUAUUUUGGACAGAGACAUCAGAUUGGCACUGGGAGUUUUUCAGCUUCAUGCAUAGUAACUGGCCCACGUGGGCUGAUGAGAUUGUAUUACAUAGGAGCAGUUAAUGCUAUAAAAUUAAUAUCUCACAGUAGGUGUAAAAUAAAUGUCCAAUAUGAGGACUGAAGAAACUGUCCUCACGAGAAAUCAAUCAGUAUGGAUUGGAAUAUACACCAAUAAAAGUCAAGUGAAAAACAACAGGAACCUUAGCAAGAACAGCAAAAAAAACCCAAAUAAUUGAAUCAUAGUAAUGAUGUUUGUUUGUUAUUGUUAUCAAAUAUUAAUGAUUUUCAUGAAACCUGGAAAAACUCUGGUAAAUCAAAUACUAAUAAAGUAAAACUGGUUUUUAGUUUAAAAAUUAAGAAUGUUGUCUUAAAGAGACCAAAGGAGAGAAGAGGGAGAAACUUAAGUGCUCUGCAUACAAAAAAUGGGUCAAGCCACUGAAUUUUUCUGAGCAAGCUCUUGAUCAAAUCUUAUACCUUCCCUCUCCUUUAUUCUGCUUUUGUAUGCAUACACUUUUGAAGUGCAACUUACCUUAAAAUGUCCAUAAAUUAAAAACUCCUAAGAUAAAAACAACUAUAUCCAUUCAAUAGGAAAUGUUCAUCAGAGCUUGGACAAAUCAUUAUGCAGAGAACAUUCUAGGAGAAAGCACUGAAGCAAUCAAACUUAAACCAGCUGCAGAAAUAAAAAAGAAAAUUAUAGCUUUGGCAAAUGAAUGCUAGUAAUUAUAUUUCCAUCACUUUGUAUUAUAUUGUUUGUCUUCUUGGGAUAAGAUUGAACUUAUUCAGUCUGAGCCAUUCUGAUUGUUAGAACUUGGGCAAAGGGACUGUUCAAAAGAAGCCCUGAGGGAAAGCAAAACCAUGUGUUCACAUUGCAAUGGAUCAUAUCUGAAAAGUGAAAGGUGUGUUCUGAGCUCCUGGUGCUUCCUCUGUUCAAUUUCUAAAGCCAAAUUUUCCAGGGAUUUUAGGGUGGACUCAGCACUGAGUUGCAGAGCUCCCUCAGCUUGGGAAGUGAGGGUGGGUAUAAAGGGGCUUAUUUUUGUGCAGGAAAUAAAUGGAGCCCUGACAGUAUGUACAAACAAAUAUUUUUUUUUCUCCAAAAAUGAAUGUUUGCAUGCUUUUUAAAAAUUUCUGACUGAGGGGCAACUACAGAGAUGCUGCACAAGUUAAAGUGGUCAGUGAAGGUAAGUACAGUAAGUACAAAGAUUACACUACAUUGUAACAUGAUUUAGGAAAAUAAUUAAUAUACCCUUGUGGUGUUUAGGGAAUAUGGGACUAUUUUGUGUAUUUAAAAGUUUUGUUGAGAUCACCAAUCUACAUUAAAGUUUGUUUGUCUGAUAAAGGUAGGGAAAUACAUCCAUGGGCCACAGGCAAAAAUGAGCCUGUGGAGAUCUUUGCCUAAAUCAUGCAUGAAAAAAAUAACCAAAGCAGUAAUUGCAGUUUCAGCUGAGUAGAAUAAAUAAUUGCAGAAACUGAUUUGGUUAAAAAUCAUAAACUACACUGAAUCCUCCUGCCUGUUAAAUUUAACAAUAGAAAAAGGCUUUUAGAAUUGGAAAUAUUUUGCUUUUAUGCUUAUGCCUUGUUUUUAACCUGUCCAAACCUUAGGUAUAGCUGAAACAGAAAAUGCAGCAUAAUAGAGAUUUAACAAAAAGGGAAAGAAUGACCUAUGCUAAUGUAAUGCUUCCUGUCAUCUUUUGUAUGAGUGUUCCAUUUUGUCAAGUUUUCUAAGCAAAGCUCUUUAACUGUAAAUUGCUUCUUAAACCAAGUUAGGCUUGAUCUUGGAUAUAUUUCAAAAUAAUUUAAAUAAAUCUCAACAAAUGCUACUUGCUGAGUAUUAUCAUUUUCAUUAGUGCUUUAGAAUUUCUGAGCAUGUAAAUUAAUUUAGUUGUAGUCCUUAUCAGUCUUUGAAGAGAAUGUUAAUUAUAUUUGGCAAUAAUUGUUUUGCAGAAAAUUGGGAAAUCAGCCUGGAUCUCUUGAACAGUUUAUGAUUCAAUCCCACUUCAUGAGAAAUCAGCAACAUAGAGCACUUGAGACCUCUCUGAUGACCUUUCUAUACCUGUGAAGUUUGAAUAAACCAAAUAACACCACCAUGGGAUUAAACUAAAUUUUAAGGCCACUUGGGAGAUCAUAAAAUGCUUACACAUUUAACUCUUGGUUUGGUUUUUUUGCUCUACUUGUGUCUUAGUCAUUUCUACACCUCUGAAAGCGUUCUGCACUCCCAGCUGCUCUGCCAAGAGAAUCUCUAAGAUCCACGCUAAUUACAUGGGUGGGUUUGGUGACCACAGCUUAAAUUUCAAAUGGCAAUAUGCAGAUCUUGAAUAUUUUCUGUUCUAUAUCAGAGCUGCAUGAUUUUGGAACACCUCAGUUUGAGCUUCAGUAGCAUACAGGAUUUGUCUUUUAAUAACUCAGUGUAGGAGAACUGCAGUACCCCAACCGUCUGCUUUCUGCUGAACUCCCUGAAGUAGCCAAUUUUGUCUUGCAGACGUGGCUGCUGCACAUGCUGAGUGCUGAUUGCAAGUAUUAUCUUAAGAGAAUCACUUCUCAAUAUUUAGGAACGUGACUCUUCUUUCAAAGGCAUGCUUUUGGGCUUUUAUACCCCUGCUGGCUUCAUCUCACCAGGAGCUACCUGUCAGACGCCAUCCUUCAGUUCCACAGCUGCCUUUGCUGCCGGCUGUGUUUAUCAAAAAAAAAAAAAAAAAUGGGAGGAAGAAGA
Non-coding RNA from Zonotrichia albicollis (white-throated sparrow), 6562 nucleotides. The record is from RefSeq and is a predicted model, not a curated record. Lineage: Eukaryota; Metazoa; Chordata; Aves; Passeriformes; Passerellidae.